Molecule: long non-coding RNA, 4147 nt
Organism: Pseudopipra pipra
Lineage: Eukaryota; Metazoa; Chordata; Aves; Passeriformes; Pipridae
Exons: 2
Source: RefSeq, a predicted model, not a curated record
AUGGACAUAGACAAGUUGAAAGAUGUCCAAGGGUUGCAGACCCCUCCUAGGAGGUCACCAAGGUGCCCCAGUCCAAAGCCUGCCACAGGCAAAGAGCCCAAUACUUCAAGUGGGACUGAGAGGCCUCUGCAUCUUCCCACAAAACACCAGCUUCAACUUCACUGUACAGUUGGGGAGGCCCCCAGAACUUUAAGGGAAGUGGGAGCUGGGGCUGAUGGAAACCACACAGCUGAAAUAACAUCAGCAAAGAUGCCAUCUUCGAAACAGCACUGCAGGCUAAAGCAUGGCACUGUAACUUGUGUAAGGGCUAUCAUCUGUGCUUCUCCAUGUUGAUGGAAUUUCUCACAGAUGAUGUAACUGCAAGGCCACUCUCAGUUACUUUUGUUAUGUCAUAGCAAUUGGGAGAGGUUACUGAAAAGAUUGAAAGAAAACAAAUGUCACUCCUAUCUUAAAGAAGGAAGAUCUAGGGAACCAUAUGCCAGUCAGUCUCACCUAAAUCCUUGGGAAAAUAAUGGAGCAACCAUUUCCAAAUACAUGAGGGACAAGAAGGUGAUAUGUAGUAGUCCCCAUGGAUUUACAAAGGAGGAAUCAUGCCUAAGGAACCCAGUAGCCUUCUACAAUGAGGUGACUAGCUCGGUGGAUGAGGGGAGAGGUGCCGAUGUGAUUUAACUCAACUUUAGAAAGGUUGCGGAGCCUCCACUUGUGGAGAUAUUCAAAACCUGACUACACACUGUACAGGGUAACCUGUUCUAGCCAACUCUGCUCGAGCAAGGGGUGGCAGACUAGAUGAUCUGAACAGGUCCCUUCCUACCACACCUAUUCCAUGAUUUCAUUAGGAGAUAAGCUGUCAGGUAUCAAUUAAUAACUAUAUUGCAGCUCUAUUCUCCACUAUGCACACAUACCCCCUCUUUUUUUUAGCCCAGUACCUAGUGUUUGCCUGAACAGGUAAGGAAUAAGCCCCCUCCAUUAUUCAAGGUUGUGUCCAACACAAGCACAGCACUGAUUUGCUAAUGAUUGUCAUUAAUUAUGAGGGGGUAAACAGCUUGUUCAUGAAAUUCAAGAUGAUAAAUUGUCAGUAUUUAAAACACAAGUGUGGAGAAAAGUAGCAAUAGAAAGGAAACAAAGGAUUAAUUUAAAGGAAACACACACCUGCAGAAUUAUAUUCCAAAACACAGACUUUCUGCAAGAUGUUUUGGGAAAAGUUGAUAUAAAGAAGCAAAGUGUCAAAGCUAAUGAGACAUUGCUUUGGACUGCAGUAUUUCUUCUUCCAAAACUUCACAGCUAUUUUGAGUGGCAUGCAGAAAGGCAACAAAGCAAAAAACAACAAAACUGUCUCUGCCUGAAGCUGUGAAAGGUCAAAUUUAGUUGUCCCAAUGUCAGCACUAUAAUCUUUUUGUAUAUAAGACAUAGUGCCCAAAGUGCAGUUGGCAAGAAAGAAGACUGAACAUUCGAAGAGGAUUCAGAGAUGAUUUAUGAAGAAGGAUUAGAAUGUGCACUACAAUCUAAGUGACAGUUAAACUCAGAGGGCAGGAAGGAGAAUGGAGGCAGAACUUGGAAAUAGUAUUAGAAAAAAAGAAAAAAAAUUAAAAAUUAUAGAUCAAAUACUGAGACUCCCGAGAUCAGAAGGACUGGCAGGACCCCAGUUACUCAUCUGCUGGAUGGAAAAACAUCAAAGACCACAGAGAGUUCAAAAUGUCAAAGACAACAUAUAUAAAAUCCAGAGAAUAACUAAUAUAGAAGAAGGAAUUAUGCAGUCACUCCACAGUGGAAACUUGAUUGGAAGGAUAUUUAACAUAUAAUUCAUAAGGCUAUGUAAUUUGUGAAGGCUAUGUAAUUCAUAAAGCCCAAAAAGGACUUGUGGUUCCUACAGAAACACUAACCUUAUGCAUACAUUAGAAUGUGCAGUUAUGCUGUCCUUGAUAACAGACUGACAAUAAUAGCUCAUCUAAAAUAUAGUAACAAAGCAUUAUACAUAAUCUUCACAUUAAACCUUUUUCUCAUUAGUAAGCAAGGGGAUAAGAGCUGAAAAAUUCUCUAAGCAAUUCAUCAUAAUGAAUGAGAAUCCAUCAGCCUAACAAAGCACUUCUGAGCAUUAAGCCCUAUUUCCUAAACACACAUAACUGAAAAGAUAUGAAAAGAUAUUCUGAAAUGCAAAAUUUGGGGAUUAAGCUCAGUCUCUCUUUAAUUCCUGCAAAUGACCCUAUCUAGAGACUUCAAACUGAAAACAGGCAGCAAAUUACAAUGCUGUCCUGUUAGUGCAAAACUUUUUGAAACUACAUGUCAGGAGAUGUAAAUUUAGGGCUUUUCCCUAUGUAAUAACAGUAAUUACAAAAUGGAAAUGUGCAAUGAUUUUUAAAUUAUUUUAUUUCAUUUUUCAGUGUGUUACCAUAAAGUUAAUUUCACUUGAGAUGAAAAUCCAAUCUGAAAACCAGCUGAACAGAAAGAUCUCCUGAAUUCAUUGCUCCAUAGAAACAUUUAUAUCUGAGUUUGAUAGCAAAAGCAAGUGCAUGUUGCUGUUUAAUCCCAUUAAACAUGCAGAACAGAAAGAGAAGUGAAUUUUGUUCUUCUAAUUCUUGGAAAAUUUGGAGAAUAUUUUACUACAAUCCUUAAUCCCUGUGCAACCAUAACAAAAGACAAGAUUUUUACAUGUUAGCAACCAUGAUUUGGCUACUAAAAAUGUUUUCGUUUGCCUCACUAUUAAAACCUCUUUCCAAAACCAUUUGAUUCACAGACUCAAAACCAGCACUCAAGGCUUUGAAAGCUGGAAGGAGACUUUUCAACUACUUUCAUAGAUGUCACCAGGAACAGACAGUUUUACCAAGACAGUUUCCAGAGUAACAAACAUCACAUCUAAAUCACAGUCCAAAUUCCUGUAUACAAAACCCACAAGAGAAAUGUAUCAGACAAGACGGGAAACCAUAUUUUAUUCCAUUGUUAGUAGAGAGAAAAACAAAUGUAAUCAUUAUCAGUUGAGUCCCCUCAGUGCUCUAAUUUUUGGGCAACUACAUUAAAGCCUUUUGAAAAUAGAACUGUAUGGCUGUUUAAAACUAUAUGGUAAAUUCAUAUGUUAUAUAUUUGCACAAAUGCAGGGGCAUGCAUCUGCAGUACUUUCUUCUGAGACGGAAGCCCCUACUACUUAUGCAUGGACACUUUAUGCCCAACAAGGAGCACAGUUAGAUUCUGGUCAGUCUACCAUCAAACAAACAUUUACAGUAUUUAGCAUCCACUGGCAUAACUUUAUGAAAUUUAGGCACCUCUGUUGGUCACAUGUUGUUAAUCUGUCUCUUUUUUCCUGAUCCAAUUCUCCUGAAGCCUCUUUAUCCUCUUUGUUUAUUUUAACCACAGCUGCUUAAUUCUGCUCUAUCUCUUAAUACCAAAUAAAUGCAGCAGUAACAAAAAAAAAUAAAAAAAAAAAAUCAGAUGUUCAAAGGACUUGUGGUGCGUCAACAGUCAGCAAUCCUCACCCAAAUUUGUCUAAAAGGACUGAGGACCUGUACAGCCCAAAAGAAGUUACCAUGAUCUAAGAUACUCUCUUGAAGAUGUAUUACAGGCUACAACCAAGAACACUGCGUCUCAAACACUUAGUGCUCUCCAUCUGCUCAAAAGGGGCUUAAACUACAUUCUGCAAACUGACUUGUACCCUUCUCUUUCAGAUGUUGGAGGCAUUUCUGAGAAAAGGCGUGAGGAAUCAAUGUGAAGGAUAUUCCUACAGAAGUUAUUUGUAAACCCAUCACUGUAUAAGUGUGAAAGAUCUGUCUUAAGGAAAUGAAAAACAGGCAAUCACACUGGUUCAGGAAGAAGCGUGAAAAUUCACAAGAAAAUUCAGCCAGUUACAGGUGGACAAAUACCUUUGCUAUCCCAAAGCAAACACAGGACAGCGGCAUUAGACCAUUUAACAUCAUCAUCAUCAUGGCUGGGCUUCGCGAAUGAAGAUUUGGGAAGGGCUCUACCCACGUUUGUUGCAAGCACGUUGGUGGCUGAAAAGGCCAAUACGAGACAGGCAUGUCCGGUUGCAAAAGGCACAGCAGAAAGACUCCUUAGAUGGUAUAUUCUGCAAGGCACGAUUCUUUCUGCAUUGCCUUUUCUCCUCAAGGGUGAUCCUGCGUGCUUUCUCAACCAUUUAACAAAUACAGAUGCAUACUGCAAA